UCCCAGCAUGCAUUGCUGGUGGGGCUCGCCGCAUGGUGGCGUUCCAGUCGAACUCGUUUAACUUUUACCUAACCAACGAAUUCAGAACCUAACCGCCUCUUUCGCGCGUUCCACCGUGUUGUAAAAAGCUGAACGAACGCAAUAAAAACGAUCGCAACUGCUUCAGAUGGAAUAAUCUCGAAGCUUAGAACGCAGAUCGUCGACAUUGAAAAAACCAAUCAAUCGCAAAAAUGAUGGGGUUAUCUGACGAAUCCGGAGAAAUUCACUCAUAUUCACCAAUCCCUACACGGUGCCGGAGGAUGGAGAGGUAAUUACAACCAUCGAGCCAGAUUAUUGUGAGUAUUAUUAUUACCAUUUUUUCUCUCAUAAACCGCAAGUUUUUAAUACCUCGCCCAACGAAGAGAGUUCGCUGUCCGCUACGGGUGAGAGAAAAAUAAUAUUUUUGAAACAAAAUCUUGUAUCCCACAAGUUUUUUGCAAAUGCAAAAAUAUAAUGAAGUAAAUUCAUUGCAUACGAGCGUUAGUGCAGUAAAGGAAGGCAAAAUAUGCGUUCUCCGAGGGUGUCGUUCUCAAAGAAUAAUAAUAGCAGUAAAAAAAAAAUAAUCAAAAAAUCGGAGGACAUCAAAAGCACCGCAAUAUUUUCAUCGCAUUAACGGGGUAAAGUAUUAGCCAAUAAUGUCGGCGCCUAUAGUAGCGUGUCCAACGUCGACUUACCCAGCUGUUGCUGUAAAAGCAACACCUUGUUCACCUCAGCUCAUAUCCCUACACAACUCGUUUAAGGUAGAAGAUGGGGAAGAGAAUUAUGAAUGCGAAGGAGAACCUCGAACAAAAAUAAACAAACUGAAGACCAAAAAAAUAAAGAAGACUCGUUUACUUUGGAUAAUUUGCAUACCAUAUCUUGCAGCCAACGAGGAACGUAUGCAUAUAACUAGGUACAAUUCAACCGGCUAAUUAAACAGGUACCGAACGUAUUUUAAUUACGACAUGGCAAGGAUCUACAAUAUUAUUACUCGAGGUGCCGGCGUGCGACUUUCCAACCACACAGGGCUCAUCUUCUUCAUCAUCAUCAUCGUAUCUCUACCAAUUGAAUUACCCUCAGUACACGGCAGGAAGUGCGUGUGCACAAGCAAGUCAUGCCUGGAGGCAGGCACGGACACCCGCAGGACGCGUUUCUCCUGUUACACAGAACUCAUCCUGAUCGACGAGGGACAAGGAAACACUACAACCCGGGGCUGCGCCGAGAUAUACCUGGGACAUCAAUCGUCGUGUACGGGGCGAAUAUUAUAAUUUAUCUUUUGAUAUCAAAUACUGUAACACCGCGGUGGUAGACAUGUGUUCUAAUAAUUUCACUGACGUGAAUUUACGUUGUAAUUAUACCAUAUACGCAAGAAAAUGCAAGGCAUCAAACCGUCACUCUACAUACAUCCAACUCGGUAUGUCGGAUAGAAUAAUUAUAUACUAUAGUACCUAAUUGAAAUUGCACCUGUAACAAGUCACGGUAUAUUUUCCACGUAGAUUUCACGUACCAUGUAUGAGUAAAUUAUAUAAAACUACGUGCCAUGCCCAUUACGUAGUUUAUGGUAUUUAACCGUACGAAAUAUUUAUUUUAUUCGCUUCGUAUUUUUUUUUUUAUUUUUCCGUCAGAAUUCGGUGAAUCAAAAGAAACAGAACAAUCGAUUGAUUGUUAUAUUAAUUGACUGAAUUAACCGAAUAGUUUGUUGGAGGAAAAAAUUCUAUGCAGGCAUACAGAUUUAUUUUCAUCGGGGUACACGUAUUUGCACUUGUAAAAUAUCCCCCCAUCAUUAAUUCCGAUCUCAUCUUGAGCGACAUUCCGAUGAAUCAAUCUCAUAAUAUAUUGCUCAAGUUGCUUGUACCUCGGUAGGUUACACGACUGUCCGUAUGUAACGUGUUUUCUAUGUAUCGUACGCACAUGCCUAUAUACGAGUUCGCGUAAAAAAAUUGAAUUAAAAUCCAUCUACCUAUCAGUCGGGCGUAAUAUAAAUGAGUAUAUGUAUGUAUAAUUAUAUAAAACGAAUACGUGAUACACGUAUACUGAGCAGAUAUAUGAAUUUAUUUAGAGAAUCAAAACCGCGAGUUUGCUGUUAAGUUUUUUUUACUUAUUAUCAUUUUAUUUUUAUUUUCAUUUUAUUUUGCAUCCAUAUAAGCGUAAAUACAUGUAGGUAUGUAGCGCAAAAACUAUCCUGUACAAUUUAUACAUACAACGACGUGUGUCUUGCUGAAAUGUAGUCUGAAUUAAUUAAUGAA
Athalia rosae (coleseed sawfly) is the source of this 2264-nucleotide long non-coding RNA. RefSeq lists it as uncharacterized. Lineage: Eukaryota; Metazoa; Arthropoda; Insecta; Hymenoptera; Athaliidae. The transcript is spliced from 4 exons. The record is from RefSeq and is a predicted model, not a curated record.